GGGGUUUAAAACUUUCCUGUUAUAAAACUUUAAAUUUCUCGAAGAAAUAAGGAUUUUCUUAUUCCAGGAGUAGACUAAGCCGGAUUUGGCACAACAUUUUGGAAUUGUGGGUCCUCAAUACUCUUCAACUUUGUUCUUGUUUGGCUUUACAACUAAUUUGAUCUGAUGUAGACGAAACAUGCGUCUGGCAUACUAAAUUAUAAUCCUGGUACCUUU
Molecule: long non-coding RNA, 216 nt
Filed under: Mytilus galloprovincialis (Mediterranean mussel)
Lineage: Eukaryota; Metazoa; Mollusca; Bivalvia; Mytilida; Mytilidae
Source: RNAcentral